AUUGAACGCUGGCGGCAUGCCUUACACAUGCAAGUCGAACGGUAACAGGUCUUCGGAUGCUGACGAGUGGCGAACGGGUGAGUAAUACAUCGGAACGUGCCUAGUAGUGGGGGAUAACUACUCGAAAGAGUGGCUAAUACCGCAUGAGAUCUACGGAUGAAAGCAGGGGAUCGCAAGACCUUGUGCUACUAGAGCGGCCGAUGGCAGAUUAGGUAGUUGGUGGGAUAAAAGCUUACCAAGCCGACGAUCUGGAGCUGGUCUGAGAGGACGGUCAGCCACACUGGGACUGAGACACGGCCCAGACUCCUACGGGAGGCAGCAGUGGGGAAUUUUGGACAAUGGGCGCAAGCCUGAUCCAGCAAUGCCGCGUGCAGGAUGAAGGCCUUCGGGUUGUAAACUGCUUUUGUACGGAACGAAAAGCCCUGGGUUAAUACCCUGGGGUCAUGACGGUACCGUGAGAAUAAGCACCGGCUAACUACGUGCCAGCAGCCGCCGUAA
Molecule: ribosomal RNA, 498 nt
Filed under: uncultured bacterium
Lineage: Bacteria
Description: partial 16S ribosomal RNA
Rfam family: Bacterial small subunit ribosomal RNA
Source: RNAcentral